RNAcentral lists this ribosomal RNA (450 nucleotides) under uncultured bacterium. Its description in RNAcentral is "partial 16S ribosomal RNA". It matches the Rfam family "Bacterial small subunit ribosomal RNA", at positions 354 to 796 of the family's 1533-position model. The record is from RNAcentral.
GUGGGGAAUUUUGGACAAUGGGCGCAAGCCUGAUCCAGCAAUGCCGCGUGCAGGAAGAAGGCCUUCGGGUUGUAAACUGCUUUUGUACGGAACGAAACGGUCCGGGUUAAUACCCUGGGCUAAUGACGGUACCGUAAGAAUAAGCACCGGCUAACUACGUGCCAGCAGCCGCGGUAAUACGUAGGGUGCAAGCGUUAAUCGGAAUUACUGGGCGUAAAGCGUGCGCAGGCGGUUUUGUAAGACAGGCGUGAAAUCCCCGGGCUCAACCUGGGAAUUGCGCUUGGGACUGCAGUGCUGGAGUGCGGCAGAGGGGGAUGGAAUUCCGCGUGUAGCAGUGAAAUGCGUAGAUAUGCGGAGGAACACCGAUGGCGAAGGCAAUCCCCUGGGCCUGCACUGACGCUCAUGCACGAAAGCGUGGGGAGCAAACAGGAUUAGAAACCCGUGUAGUCC